GACGAACUUUGGCGGCGUGCUUAACACAUGCAAGUCGAACGGAAAGGCCCUGCUUUUGUGGGGUGCUCGAGUGGCGAACGGGUGAGUAACACGUGAGUAACCUGCCCUUGACUUUGGGAUAACUUCAGGAAACUGGGGCUAAUACCGGAUAGGAGCUCCUGCUGCAUGGUGGGGGUUGGAAAGUUUCGGCGGUUGGGGAUGGACUCACGGCUUAUCAGCUUGUUGGUGGGGUAGUGGCUUACCAAGGCUUUGACGGGUAGCCGGCCUGAGAGGGUGACCGGCCACAUUGGGACUGAGAUACGGCCCAGACUCCUACGGGAGGCAGCAGUGGGGAAUAUUGCACAAUGGGCGGAAGCCUGAUGCAGCAACGCCGCGUGCGGGAUGACGGCCUUCGGGUUGUAAACCGCUUUCGCCUGUGACGAAGCGUGAGUGACGGUAAUGGGUAAAGAAGCACCGGCUAACUACGUGCCAGCAGCCGCGGUGAUACGUAGGGUGCGAGCGUUGUCCGGAUUUAUUGGGCGUAAAGGGCUCGUAGGUGGUUGAUCGCGUCGGAAGUGUAAUCUUGGGGCUUAACCCUGAGCGUGCUUUCGAUACGGGUUGACUUGAGGAAGGUAGGGGAGAAUGGAAUUCCUGGUGGAGCGGUGGAAUGCGCAGAUAUCAGGAGGAACACCAGUGGCGAAGGCGGUUCUCUGGGCCUUUCCUGACGCUGAGGAGCGAAAGCGUGGGGAGCGAACAGGCUUAGAUACCCUGGUAGUCCACGCUGUAAACGGUGGGUACUAGGUGUGGGGUCCAUUCCACGGGUUCCGUGCCGUAGCUAACGCUUUAAGUACCCCGCCUGGGGAGUACGGCCGCAAGGCUAAAACUCAAAGGAAUUGACGGGGCCCCGCACAAGCGGCGGAGCAUGCGGAUUAAUUCGAUGCAACGCGUAGAACCUUACCUGGGUUUGACAUGGAUCGGGAGUGCUCAGAGAUGGGUGUGCCUCUUUUGGGGUCGGUUCACAGGUGGUGCAUGCCUGUCGUCAGCUCGUGUCGUGAGAUGUUGGGUUAAGUCCCGCAACGAGCGCAACCCUUGUUCACUGUUGCCAGCACGUUAUGGUGGGGACUCAGUGGAGACCGCCGGGGUCAACUCGGAGGAAGGUGGGGAUGACGUCAAGUCCACAUGCCCCUUAUGUCCAGGGCUUCACGCAUGCUACAAUGGCUGGUACAGAGAGUGGCGAGCCUGUGAGGGUGAGCGAAUCUCGGAAAGCCGGUCUCAGUUCGGAUUGGGGUCUGCAACUCGACCUCAUGAAGUCGGAGUCGCUAGUAAUCGCAGAUCAGCAACGCUGCGGUGAAUACGUUCCCGGGGCU
RNAcentral lists this ribosomal RNA (1346 nucleotides) under uncultured bacterium. Its description in RNAcentral is "partial 16S ribosomal RNA". It matches the Rfam family "Bacterial small subunit ribosomal RNA", at positions 28 to 1381 of the family's 1533-position model. The record is from RNAcentral.